Small nuclear RNA from Marmota marmota marmota (Alpine marmot), 107 nucleotides. The record is from Ensembl. Lineage: Eukaryota; Metazoa; Chordata; Mammalia; Rodentia; Sciuridae.
GUGCUCGAUUUGGCAAUACAUAUGCUAAAAUCGGAACAAAACAGAGAAGAUUAGCAUGGUCCUUGUGCAAGGAUGACACCCAAAUUUGGGAAGCAUUCUAUAUUUUU